UCACCUCGGAAGGGUCUGGUCUCGGGAUGCAGGAGAUGAAAGGUCUGUGGUUUGCUUGGCACUUCAGACUCUUGCUUACUGCCUCUGAUUUUCUGGCACCUGAAGGUACAGAACUUCACUGAUGUCAGGGAUACCACUGCUUGAACUUUGCUGUUUGCCUGGAUAAGGGGUGCCACGCUCUGGACACCAAGGAAAGUCCCCUGGAAAACAAGGACUAUGGAGAGUCAUCCUGAAACAGCUGUUUCCCAUUGCAGUGCUGCAACUGGCACUUUGGAAAAUAUGGAUACUUCAUGGUUGUUCUGUUGCCAUCCAGGACUUGUCUCAGGAACAAUACAGUAAAGACGUUUUUCAAGGAAGGCUGUUCCAUAAAGUAUGCUAGUAUUUCAGCAGAAGUCUCCUUUUUCUUUUGGUUGUGUAUGAUGCCGGGGAGCAUAACACACUGUCUUAGCGUACUUUUUAUUUUGUUAGCGUAUAGCUUGAAUUGGUUAUGGCCAGCUGUGCGCCUGAGUCUUGGAUAUUCGUGCACAAUGGCUGUGACUGACAGCCAGGAGUCCUCUGUAUUUUCAUGUUGAACAGCUGUGAUAAAUAAAUGACACAAGAUAGUCUAAAAAAUAAUAUUGUUAUUGUGUUUGAAAUGCCUACAUUCUGCUUGCCUAAAUAGGGUGAUGUACUAACAGGACUGUAUCACUUCAUACCAAUUCAUUAUUCAGAGAGGGAUGUAAAAAAUAUGAAUUAAGCAUUCAUUUACAUUUUAAAGUUAG
This is a long non-coding RNA of Zonotrichia leucophrys gambelii, 761 nucleotides long. RefSeq lists it as uncharacterized. The record is from RefSeq and is a predicted model, not a curated record. The transcript is spliced from 3 exons. Lineage: Eukaryota; Metazoa; Chordata; Aves; Passeriformes; Passerellidae.